Molecule: long non-coding RNA, 250 nt
Organism: Lutra lutra (Eurasian river otter)
Lineage: Eukaryota; Metazoa; Chordata; Mammalia; Carnivora; Mustelidae
Exons: 3
Source: RefSeq, a predicted model, not a curated record
CUUCAACAGGUGUUGAUUCACUUCUCUUUCUGUGGAUGAGGGGGUGGAAAGUCCAGAUGAACACUGCACACCUGAGUGCAAUAUGCAGCGAAGGCUGACUGUGAGCGUGGCUGGACCAUCUGGUACCACAACUCAGAUGUAAUUAAUGUGUACUGGGUGAGUACCAUGUGUCAGAUCCGGAAUGAGGCAUUUCUGCACAUUUGGCUGAAUGCUCCCUGUGUACAUGGGGCGAGUUCAUUACUGGACUAUU